UAUACUGUACAUAUAUACUUUCAGACAAUUUUAUGCUGUGUAAGAACCAGCGCGGCCUAAAGGUCCAUCAGGCUAGAAUGAAAUGUUUGGAGCGGGAGAGUGAGGUGCAACGCACAGGUCCCGAACCUGGUGAGACGCAGGAGGAGCCCGGCCCGGAGGCACCCCACAGAGCCCAGUCCCUCCACGCACCGGACUCUUCCAAUCCAAGCAGUGUAGUUCCACAACAGCGGAUUAAGUGGCCCCCAGCCAGCAGCCGGAGCGAGUGGCAGAAGUUUGAUGAGGAUGUUUCCAACAUUAUACAAGCUGUGGCCAAAAGAGAUGCUGACAGCAGGCUUAAAACAAUGACCACCAUCAUAGUCAGCUAUGCCUCAGAAAGGUUUGGCCUGACUGAGAAGGGUAAUAACAAGACCCCUUACACCAUGAACCGCAGGGCCAUGAAGAUUCAUCGACUGCGCCAGGAGCUUAGGAGCCUUAAGAAGCAGUUUAAGGAGGCUGAUGCGGAGGAGAAGCAAGCUUUAGAGGAACUGCAUAACAUCUUGCGGAAGAAGCUGAUUACCCUCCGAAGAGCAGAAUGGCACAGGAGGCGGGGAAGAGAGAGAGCCAGGAAACGUGCAGCUUUUAUUGCUGAUCCCUUUCGCUUUUCCAAACAAUUGCUUGGGGUUAAGCGAAGCGGCCAGUUGGAGUGCUCAGCAGAGGAGGUGAAUAACUUCCUUCAUGAGACCAUGAGUGACCCACUGAGGGAACAAGACUUGGGACCAAACAAAGCUCUCAUCAACCCUGCCCCACCAUCAGUAGAGUUCAAGUUGACAGAGCCAAGUUUGAAGGAGGUGUGUGAGGUCAUCAAGGCAGCCCGCUCAGCAUCCUCCCCAGGUCCCAGUGGCGUACCGUACCUUGUUUAUAAGCGCUGCCCAGAGCUCCUUCGCCACCUGUGGAAGAUCUUAAAGGUGAUAUGGCGGAGAGGGAGAGUCGCUGAUCAGUGGAGGUACGCAGAGGGAGUCUGGAUUCCCAAAGAAGAGGACUCGAAAAACAUAAACCAGUUUCGGAGCAUCUCGCUACUGAGCGUGGAGGGUAAGGUGUUUUUUAGCGUUGUCUCCCGGAGAUUGACCGAGUUUCUCCUUAGAAACAAUUAUAUUGAUCCAUCAGUUCAGAAGGGGGGGAUCCCAGGUGUCCCUGGUUGCCUAGAGCACACUGGUGUAGUUACACACCUUAUAAG
This 1213-nucleotide long non-coding RNA is filed under the name Oreochromis niloticus (Nile tilapia). RNAcentral's name for it is "lncRNA (ENSONIG00000035774.1)". The record is from RNAcentral. Lineage: Eukaryota; Metazoa; Chordata; Actinopteri; Cichliformes; Cichlidae.